AUUUCCCAGUUUUCUAAAAUUCUCCUUUUCCAUUUCUUUUUCCUCAGACAGCUAGUAUCUCUCUGAUUUUACCUGAAACUUUUAUGUGCCCAGAUAAGCAGCAGAGGGAUUGUGAAGUUCACCCCAUCCUCUCGUGUCUUAGGAUCAGAUCUCUUCCCGUGGAAGCUGUUAGUUAAUGAGUUCAGGAGGAUGUUGAAUUGCCCUGCUAGAGAGAUGCUGAUCUGCAGUAACCACUGUGCCCAGAGGAGAGCAGCAGGGACAAGGUAUGUUUCCAGGCUUCUAAAGAAGAUCGCCCAGAAGCAACAUAAUUAUGGCCAUCUCACAGUCUAUUUGUGAAGAUAUGUGUGUUGAGGGUGAUGCUUGGCAUAGCGUAAUGUUUUGUUUGUUUGUUUGUUUUUUGUUUUUUUAGCUAGUACAAUAAAUGUUUUUACCCAGCUCUAGUUAGUGAUCUA
Molecule: long non-coding RNA, 452 nt
Filed under: Mus spicilegus (steppe mouse)
Lineage: Eukaryota; Metazoa; Chordata; Mammalia; Rodentia; Muridae
Description: lncRNA (ENSMSIG00000017531.1)
Source: RNAcentral